GAGCAGAUGAACAGCCUUAUAAGAGCCAAUCUUCUAAAAUUCAGGGUUCUUCUCCUGUGGUGCACCUUACUGCAUGAGCAGGGUCUUACUCUGUCACCCAGGCUGGAGUGCAGUGGCACAGGAACAUGGCUUCCUGCAGCCUCGACCCCUCUGGGAUCAAGCGAUACUCCUGCCUUAGCCUCCUGAAUAGCUGGGACCACAGUCAC
RNAcentral lists this long non-coding RNA (206 nucleotides) under Homo sapiens (human). Its description in RNAcentral is "HSALNT0316302". Lineage: Eukaryota; Metazoa; Chordata; Mammalia; Primates; Hominidae. The record is from RNAcentral.